Molecule: ribosomal RNA, 468 nt
Filed under: uncultured bacterium
Lineage: Bacteria
Description: partial 16S ribosomal RNA
Rfam family: Bacterial small subunit ribosomal RNA
Source: RNAcentral
GACGAACGCUGGCGGCGUGCUUAACACAUGCAAGUCGAACGGAAGGGCCCUGCUUUUGUGGGGUUCUCGAUUGGCGAACGGGUGAGUAACACGUGAGUAAACUGCCCUUAACUUUGGGAUAUCUUCAGGAAACUGGGUCGAAUACCGGGUAGAAGCUCCUGCUGCAUGUGGGGGGUAGGAAAGUGUCGGCGGUUGGGGCUGGUCUAGCGGGUUAUCCGCUGGUUUGGGUGGUAGGUACUGUCCAGGCGUUUGAAGGGUAGCCGGCCUGAGAGGGUGACCGGCCACAUUGGGACUGAGGUACGCCCCAGAAUGCUACGGGCGGCAGCAGGGGGGAACAUUGCAGAAUGGGCGGAAGCCUGAUGCAGCAACGCUGCGUGCGGGAUGCCGGCCUUCGGGUGGUAAACCGCUUUCGCCUGUGACGAAGCGAGAGUGACGGUAAUGGGUAAAGAAGCACCGGCUAACUACGUG